Molecule: ribosomal RNA, 253 nt
Filed under: uncultured bacterium
Lineage: Bacteria
Description: partial 16S ribosomal RNA
Rfam family: Bacterial small subunit ribosomal RNA
Source: RNAcentral
UACAGAGGUCCCGAGCGUUGUUCGGAUUUAUUGGGCGUAAAGGGUGCGUAGGCGGCGGAGUAAGUUGGGUGUGAAAUCCCGGGGCUUAACCUCGGAAUUGCAUUCAAUACUGCUUCGCUUGAGUACUGGAGAGGAGGCUGGAAUUUACGGUGUAGCAGUGAAAUGCGUAGAUAUCGUAAGGAAGGCCGGUGGCGAAAGCGAGCCUCUGGACAGUUACUGACGCUGAUGCACGAAGGCCAGGGGAGCAAACGGG